UCCCCGGUAGCUCAGUUGGUAGAGCGCUCGCCUGUUAAGCGAUUUGUCGUAGGUUCGAGUCCUACCCGGGGAGCCA
This 76-nucleotide transfer RNA is filed under the name Patescibacteria group bacterium. RNAcentral describes it as "tRNA-Asn". It matches the Rfam family "tRNA". Rfam says of the family: Transfer RNA (tRNA) molecules are approximately 80 nucleotides in length. Their secondary structure includes four short double-helical elements and three loops (D, anti-codon, and T loops). Further hydrogen bonds mediate the characteristic L-shaped molecular structure. tRNAs have two regions of fundamental functional importance: the anti-codon, which is responsible for specific mRNA codon recognition, and the 3' end, to which the tRNAs corresponding amino acid is attached (by aminoacyl-tRNA synthetases). tRNAs cope with the degeneracy of the genetic code in two manners: having more than one tRNA (with a specific anti-codon) for a particular amino acid; and 'wobble' base-pairing, i.e. permitting non-standard base-pairing at the 3rd anti-codon position. The record is from RNAcentral.